This 1245-nucleotide ribosomal RNA is filed under the name metagenome. Its description in RNAcentral is "bacterial LSU rRNA". It matches the Rfam family "Bacterial large subunit ribosomal RNA", at positions 1564 to 2818 of the family's 2925-position model. The record is from RNAcentral.
UGAAUACGAGGCACUAAGGUGCUGAAGUAGUGUAUGUCAUACUUCCAAGAAAAGCUUGCACUAUCGUAAGAUAAAAAUGCCUGUACCAUAACCGACACAGGUGGGUAGGUAGAGUAUACUAAGGGGCGCGAGAUAACUCUCUCUAAGGAACUCGGCAAAAUAACUCCGUAACUUCGGGAGAAGGAGUGCCUUAUUCUAUAAGGUUGCAAUAACAAGAUCCAAGCAACUGUUUAUCAAAAACACAGGUCUCCGCUAAGUCGUAAGACGAUGAUGGGGGCUGACGCCUGCCCAGUGCCAGAAGGUUAUAGAAGUCGGUUAGCAAUUGCGAAGCUGGUAACUGAAGCCCUGGUGAACGGCGGCCGUAACAAUAACGGUCCUAAGGUAGCGAAAUUCCUUGUCGGGUAAGUUCCGACCCGCACGAAAGGCGUAAUGAUUUGGAUACUGUCUCGGAGAGGGACUCGGUGAAAUAGACUUGUCUGUGAAGAUGCGGACUACCUGCACCAGGACAGAAAGACCCUAUGAAGCUUUACUGUAACUUGAAAUUGAAAUUGGACUUUAUUCGCGCAGUAUAGGUGGGAGGCGUUGAUUAUAAUCUUGUGGGAUUAUUGGAGCCAUUAGUGAGAUACCACUCUUGUAAUGUUAGAUUUCUAACUUUGAAUCAUGAUCUGGUCAAAGAACAGUUUCAGGCGGGCAGUUUGACUGGGGCGGUCGCCUCCUAAAUGGUAACGGAGGCGUACAAAGGUUUCCUCUGAACGGGUAGAAAUCGUAUCUAGAGUGUAAAGGCAUAAGGAAGCUUGACUGUGAGACCUACAAGUCGAGCAGGGACGAAAGUCGGUCUUAGUGAUCUGACGGUACUGAGUGGAAAGGCCGUCACUCAACGGAUAAAAGUUACUCUAAGGAUAACAGGCUGAUCUCCCCCAAGAGUUCACAUCGACGGGGAGGUUUGGCACCUCGAUGUCGGCUCAUCGCAUCCUGGGGCGGUAGUACGUCCCAAGGGUUGGGCUGUUCGCCCAUGAAAGCGGUACGCGAGCUGGGUUCAGAACGUCGUGAGACAGUUCGGUCCAUAUCCGGUGUAGGCGUUAGAAUAUUGAGAGGAGCCUUCUUUAGUACGAGAGGACCGAGAAGGACAUACCUCUGGUGUACCAGUUAUCGUGCCAACGGUAAACGCUGGGUAGCUAUGUAUGGAGUGGAUAACCGCUGAAAGCAUCUAAGUGGGAAGCCCACCUCAAGAUAAGUAUUCUCAUC